RNAcentral lists this ribosomal RNA (497 nucleotides) under uncultured bacterium. RNAcentral's name for it is "partial 16S ribosomal RNA". It matches the Rfam family "Bacterial small subunit ribosomal RNA", at positions 28 to 507 of the family's 1533-position model. The record is from RNAcentral.
GAUGAACGCUGGCGGCGUGCCUAAUACAUGCAAGUCGAGCGAACAGACGAGGAGCUUGCUCCUUUCACGUUAGCGGCGGACGGGUGAGUAACACGUGGAUAACCUACCUAUCAGACUGGGAUAAUUUCGGGAAACCGGAGCUAAUCCCGGAUAAUAUAUUGAACCGCAUGGUUCAAUAGUGAAAGACGGUUUUGCUGGCACUUAUCGAUGGAUCCGCGCCGCAUUAGCUGGUUGGUAAGGUAACGGCUUACCAAGGCAACGAUGCGUAGCCGAACUGAGAGGGUGGUCGGCCGGACUGGGAGUGUGACCCGCUCCAGAGUCCUACGGAAGGCAGCCGGAGGGAUACGUCCGGAAAGGGCGAAAGCCUGACGGAGCAACGCCGCGUGAGUGAGGAGGGUCUUCGGAUGGGAAAACUCUGUUAUUAGGGAAGAACAAAUGUGUAAGUAACUAUGCACGUCUUGACGGUACCUGAGCAGAGAGCCACGGCUAACUACGUG